AUUGAACGCUGGCGACAUGCCUUACACAUGCAAGUCGAACGGCAGCACGGGUGCUUGCACCUGGUGGCGAGUGGCGAACGGGUGAGUAAUACAUCGGAACACGUCCUGUAGUGGGGGAUAGCCCGGCGAAAGCCGGAUUAAUACCGCAUACGAUCUACGGAUGAAAGCGGGUGACCUUCGGGCCUCGCGCUGUAGGGUUGGCCGAUGGCUGAUUAGCUAGUUGGUGGGGUAAAGGCCUACCAAGGCGACGAUCAGUAGCUGGUCUGAGAGGACGACCAGUCACACUGGGACUGAAACACGGCCCAGACUCCUACGGGAGGCAGCAGUGGGGAAUUUUGGACAAUGGGCGAAAGCCUGAUCCAGCAAUGCCGCGUGUGUGAAGAAGGCCUUCGGGUUGUAAAGCACUUUUGUCCGGAAAGAAAUCCUUGGCCCUAAUACGGUCGGGGGAUGACGGUACCGGAAGAAUAAGCACCGGCUAACUACGUG
This 486-nucleotide ribosomal RNA is filed under the name uncultured bacterium. Its description in RNAcentral is "partial 16S ribosomal RNA". It matches the Rfam family "Bacterial small subunit ribosomal RNA", at positions 30 to 507 of the family's 1533-position model. The record is from RNAcentral.